AACGCACAUUGCACCCUCUGGUAUUCCGGAGGGUAUGCCUGUUUGAGUGUCAUUAAAACACGUCAACGCAGACGAGUUGCGUGGUUUCAUCUCCACGACGAACUCGGCUCUGAUGCUUGGAUGUUGAAGGCUUGCUGGCGUCGUCAGCUCCUUUUAAAUUCAUUAGCCGGAACCGACGCAUAACUGGCGCUUCAGUUUGAUAACGUUGAACUGCUGCCGCCCAUGAUGCUUUUCCAGCUUCUAGCCGUCCGGCCCUUUGCUGGACUGCCUCGCUCUCGAGGCAAAAGGGGGGGGCGCUCUCGCCUCUUUUCACAAUUUGACCUCAAAUCAGGUAGGACUACCCGCUGAACUUAA
This 354-nucleotide unclassified non-coding RNA is filed under the name uncultured Agaricales. Its description in RNAcentral is "sequence contains 5.8S rRNA gene, ITS2, 28S rRNA gene". The stretch from base 1 to 52 matches the Rfam family "5.8S ribosomal RNA", at positions 103 to 154 of the family's 154-position model. The record is from RNAcentral. Lineage: Eukaryota; Fungi; Basidiomycota; Agaricomycetes; Agaricales.